AAAUAUUCUUAAAUUCUUCUUCCGUUGCUUCAGUUAGAUUUGAAAACCCUAAUCUCAAAUCUGGAAAACGGAGAUCGAGCUACGCCCCGAAAGCUUCAAUCUUCUGCCUGCUAUUGAAAGAUGAAGGUCCGUUCAUCAGUGAAGAAGUUGUGUGAGUUUUGUUGGACUGUGAAGCGACGUGGGCGUGUGUAUGUCCUGUGCACCGCUAAUCCCAAGCACAAGCAGCGACAAGGUGUAUCGACCCUUGCUUACGAAGGUCCACUUGUGCCGGAGACAAGUCUGAAAGAGACCUCAGCCCAAAAUGGUCUCCCUGCCCUUAUAGCUAACAAGAACGAGCAGAUGACAGUAACACCGUGGUGGAGAGUUGGUCUCGUUUCGCAUCUCUUCAACCGGAAUGGCAACAAGUAAAAUGCAUGCUGGUCACAUUAUUCAUGUAGGCUUCAUUUGCUCUAAAUAACAAGAUUAACUGUUCUUGAGGUUUUACAUAGGUUUCUUAGAGUCUGUGGUUUGUUAAGUAUCACAGUGAACCAACCCCUCUACUUGACAUCCCAUUCUCCAAACUUGGGUCUCAUUUCUGCAACACUUAAAUAUAUCAUAUCCCAACUCCA
Molecule: long non-coding RNA, 608 nt
Organism: Salvia splendens (bonfire salvia)
Lineage: Eukaryota; Viridiplantae; Streptophyta; Magnoliopsida; Lamiales; Lamiaceae
Exons: 3
Source: RefSeq, a predicted model, not a curated record